CGCCAUACAAAAUCAUAAAUUUUCUCCAGGUAUCGACAAAACACGUGGAAAACAACAACACAAAAUAUUUUGAGUUGGUAUAGCCGGUUUGAGUUGAAAGCGCGCAACUGCAUAUAUACGACCUGGUUAACAUCAGUCCCUGACAAAAAAGUCAAUUUGACCAACAUCAAAAAUCCAAUGUAAGAGAUAAAAAAAGGAAAGCGAUACUUUUAUCAAAUUGACACAAGGGACUGGUGCGUGUUAAAUGUUGUAUAGUAAGAAACAGAGACUAUUGUGUAACGACUGCUGGAAAGUACUUGGGAAAUUCCAGCAAAACGUUAAACUGUUGAAUGCACAAAUAAAAGUUUGAUGUGCAGAUGUAAAGGCUACUGAAGGAUGAACGGAAACGGAGACAGAAUAACAAAUCACUGGAACGGAACGGAUUUAUAUCCGGCCAAGGACUGUCACUUCAGCGGCAUUCCCCUAACA
Molecule: long non-coding RNA, 468 nt
Organism: Anastrepha obliqua
Lineage: Eukaryota; Metazoa; Arthropoda; Insecta; Diptera; Tephritidae
Exons: 3
Source: RefSeq, a predicted model, not a curated record